This 1318-nucleotide long non-coding RNA is filed under the name Mytilus galloprovincialis (Mediterranean mussel). The record is from RNAcentral. Lineage: Eukaryota; Metazoa; Mollusca; Bivalvia; Mytilida; Mytilidae.
AAUUAUGUUACUUCGUGUGGAAUUUUGUUUGACCACUGUCUAACAUAUCCCACUGUCCACAUAGGGUAGUUGGUUUGUCUAGCUAACUCCUACAGUGUUCUAGCUAGAACAUUUAUAUUAUGUAGGGUGUUAGUACAUAUUCUAAAGGUGUGCACAUUAUCAGGAUUUGCAUGUUCCUUAUAUUUUCCACAAAUGAAAGGAUGUUGAACUUUCUCAUUUUUAACUCACUUGGGGUGCACAGAAAUGCUAUGUUGAGGUAUAUGUACAUUUAGUGUUUGUACCAAAAAUAUCAGAUGACUUAUUAAAGUGUAACCCCAUUAAAAUGAAGAUUGUUUGCUAGUUUCCAUGUUUUUACCUGUAUACUUAAAACUUAUAUUAUAUCGUAAGAAACUGCCAUAGGAAUUAAUAAUCAGCAAAACAAGAUCUGUAGAACAUUGUAGAAAAUAAGGUCAUAGUGAUUGACCUUAUAUAACACAGGUCCCUGGUGUACAUAACAUAGGAGGCUGUAGUGCACCUUGUAUAACACAGGUCCCUGUUGAAUGUAACAGGAGGGUGUAGUGCACCUUAUAUACAUGUAACACAGGUCCCUGUUGAAUGUAAUAGGAGGGUGUAGUGCACCUUAUAUAACACAGGUCCCAGGUAAAUGUAAACAGCAAAAAUGUUCAGCAAAGUAAGAUCUACAAAAAAGUUUAACGACCAAAACUAUCAAUUGACCCCUUAAGGAGUUAAUGGCCUUUAAGGACAAUUUUUAAGUUUCUAACUUUUAAAAUCUUCUCAAAUGAAUCUAGUAUAAAUUUUGUAUUUUAUUUCUUUGUACAUGUUGUAUGUCAAGAAACAUAGACACUGGCUAAAAUGGAACAUAUGGGUAAAAUGCAUUUAUAUGCUUUUGAAGAAAAUAUGACCGAUACAAUGAACAUUUAAAUGGCAUUUUUAAGCCACUCAUUAAUAUGGGCGCAUUGCAUUUGCACCAAUUUUUUCAAAAAUCCAAUCUUUCAUUUGCGCCACAAGGUUAUAUUUCAUUUGCGCCAAAAAUAAAAACUUCAUUUACACCAUUUUACAUGUAUUGUAUAGAGGAAAAGUUCAAUAUCCGUGAAUAACAUUUGUGUUUACAAUAUUCCCCCUGGAGAACUGAAGGAGUUCAUACACAUUUCUAAUACAAAACUGAGAGUCACUAAGGUUUGGAAUUAUAUAGUUUGAGGUGUCAAGAUGGACAUUAAUAUUGUCAAUUUAGAGACAAACAAACAAAAUAGUCUGUAUUUUAGGAUGGACACACAUAUAUGUUAUCAUAUGUUCUGAAAAAUUUGGAAAGCCAGAAGAC